RNAcentral lists this ribosomal RNA (106 nucleotides) under Portibacter lacus. The record is from RNAcentral. Lineage: Bacteria; Pseudomonadati; Bacteroidota; Saprospiria; Saprospirales; Haliscomenobacteraceae.
GGUGGCUAUAGCGAAAGUGUGCACCUCUUACCAUUCCGAACAGAGUAGUUAAGACUUUCAGCGCUGAUGGUACUACGUUAACCCGUGGGAGAGUAGGUCGUUGCCU